This 2460-nucleotide long non-coding RNA is filed under the name Solanum tuberosum (potato). RNAcentral describes it as "long non-coding RNA (STUB_LNC005436)". The record is from RNAcentral. Lineage: Eukaryota; Viridiplantae; Streptophyta; Magnoliopsida; Solanales; Solanaceae.
ACGACUCUCUCUUUUUUUUUGUUAGAAAUUAGUACAAUUACAGCUUUCAACCUUAUCCUGAAAGGAAUUCGAAUUUUGAAUUUUGAAUUCACCCAAAAUUCCUCACUCGUUUUCCCUCCAUUUCAGCUCUUUUCUCCUCUAUAAAAGCCAAUUUAUUCUUCAUUACGGGAGCGGGCAAAAUAUUUUAUAACGUAGGGGAGAACAGUGAGAAACAAAUAUAAGAAAGGAGUCGAAAUUUACAAAGUAUAGACAGCUUAUAUUAGAGCUAGAUGAUAAGGAAAUAAAAUGGAUAUACGCAAAGCGUUUUGAGAUAGGUUGUGAGAUUAGGAGUACUUGGAGCCAUACUUCCUCGAUUUUACCUCUUGCGAGUCUGUUGUAGUCUAUUUGUGGUCGUGGAAAGCUCUUUAGCUCUUUUUGUCUCAGUUCGCUGCCACAAAUAAGGUAACAUUCCUUCCCUUAUUCUCUUUUGCUACAGUUCUAUUUUUCAUAUGAUAAGAAAUGCAUAUUUCAGUGAUUUUCAUUUUUGUUUUCUUAUGUGCAUUUAGCCUAUCUCUCGUUUCUUUAGCUUCUGAGUUUCAGAGUUAUUCUCAGGUUUCUGUAUGUUUAAAUUUUACUCUAAUCACAAAUCGUUAGUAUAGUUUAGUAUAAAUCAACCUUCUAUUGUUUAAUCCGUUCUAAAUGAAUUGUUAUCGCUUUAGCGGUUUGUUUUAAACUCUGUUGUUGAUAAGAUAGCCUCAUGUUAGUUAUUUCAAACUUGCAGUAUCUUGACUCUAGUAUAAUUUCUGAUUUCUUAGAUUAUGAUUUUUGGUGCUUGACUGCUGGAUUCAUUCUGGAAUACUCAUUAGAUGUAGUCUUAUGUUCAAGUUUUGAUGUUCAACCUAUCUAAUUGAGCUCAUAAUGUUGUUGCUUGUUUGAAUGACUUGAGAUGUAUGCUGAUUUCCUCUCUUGUUGGCUUAAUCUGAAAUUCCCUCAUGUCCAUUUAAUUCAACCCCCUAUUUACUGUAGCAUCGUAAUUAUUUUUCUCUUCAUUGGCUAAAAUUUGAUUGCGAAUUGUUGAGAUAUAAGUUUAAAUUUCAGGUUCUAGUUUGUUUAAAGCUCAUGAAUGUUUUAAGUCUCGUGUUUACCUUAGUUUCUACUCGUCUACCUGCCUAUUCUGAUUUGAUUUGUACCACUCUGUUCUGAAUUUAUUUGGUAUUCGUUUAGUCUAGUUUAGCUUCGAAUUUUGUCACCUGAAUCAAGUCAUGCCUUGCUGUUCAUUUGGAGCUUUAUUUUCUUACAUUAAGCCCAUGUAAGCAUGGUUAAUUGUUAAGCAUAUGUCCAGCAUGUUUCCAUCUUUUUUUUCUUCCCCUGGUUGAAUUCGUAUGAUGAUAUGCCCCCACUGUUUUCCCUAUCUAUAGUAAGCUUGUUUGAAGUGUAUUUUGCCAUCAAUGUUGUUAGUUACCGUCUCCAGGGGGUUUGUUUAUUUCAUUUCCUUUUGGCCUGAUUUGGUGGUCUUUCCUAAUAUGUUGUAGUAGCAUUGGUUCAUUGAUAUAAAAUUAUAUUCAUUGUUAAAGUGACUAGGUUGGGGUAGCUUCAUAUUCAUUUGGUUUUGUGAGAUUAGAAUGUUUCAUUUAAUAUCAUUCGGAAUAGAUGAAUUAUAGGAUAACAACUUUGAUAUUAAUAGUGGUAUAUUAUAUUGCGCAGUAUUUUACAGCAUCGUCCUUUUUUAUUUAUCAUUUUGAACUUUUAUUAACUUACUUACGUCCAUUUCUUUUGCAUGUGAAUUUUCCCAAGUCUUCACGGACUCUAUCUUUGCAUUUCAAAGGGGGCCACGAAGCCCCCCAAAAAUCCUUUUUCGAGUCGGCCAGCAUGAAAAAUCAAAGAUCAGGUCCUUGACAUUGACGUACAGGUGUUCGGAGCGAAUCAAAGUGUUGGAUACACACAACAUACAUCGAUAUACAUCAGUCGUAUACGCUAUAUAUUGCAUUGAAAAUGGGCUAAAAGUGCCCUAAAUUGUCAGCUUUGUAUUUUGUUACUUUUGGGCCUAAGCUCUUCAUUUGCAAUUAUUAUUAUCACUUGUUAGUUCUUAGGACAGGUGGAAGAUGGGCCUAAGACCCAAAGAAAUCAAUUUCAAGAUUAGUCUAGGACAUGUACUAAUUAUUGCGCCUUUGGAUCCAAAAUUGAAGGCCCAAGUAUUGACCCAAGCGGACAGAACCAGACUUGGGCCCAAAUAUUUCUUCUCUUUAUUUGCUUACCUAUUUGUUAUGGUGUCUUAUUUGUUCAAUUAAUUUUAAGAUUUUUCACCAACUCAAUUCCCCAAAGAAGAAUCAACCUUGCCUUUUAAAAUCAAACAAGUGUAUCUUUAUUUUACUUGAAUUUAAUUUUUUUUAGUAUUUUUGGUAUUUUUCUACUUAAGCAAUAAUCUUAUUUCCCCUCCCAUAAAAAUGAGUUAAAAAAAUGUUUACUUCCUCUAUUUAUCCA